UCGCUGCCAAAACAAAGAAGGAGAGACCGUGAGAGAGGAAGAACAGGGUGGGGUGACUCAAAGACUCAGUCGGGGGAAAAAGUGUGGCGUGUUAUUACAGACAAAGCAUUUCAAUAAACAACAUGUUUUAUUUGGUGAUGGUUUGAGUCUUUUAACAUGCACCCAUUACUUUCCCAAUUAGCUGUGGCUUUCUCCACACGAACACACCGAAUGCCUUUCCGUCGGACCGCUUCCCUUUUUUGACAGUUUGGCAGCGAAGGACAUGCGGCGGCAUCUCGAGGCCAUUUGACUCGGCGAGCCGAUCAGGAUGCACUCGGAGAUGUGGUUGAACUCCACGUGACCGGCUUUGCUCGGGACGGCAAUGAGACGUGCCGAUGUGCUUUGGUACCAGAAGUGUCAAGGAUGCUUGACCGCAUACAACUGGAGGUCAAUUUCUGGGAGGAAAGAUCUUUCUGACUUCCAGGGAUGCAGCAAAUCGGAGUUUGGUAUGGAUGUGGUUGAUAUAGGCUUUUCAAGAACCCAAAGACGCUUACAGGGAACAAGGCAAAGACAUACAUGAGGGUGGGGGGGGGGACGUGGAGGCUUUAUUGACUAACGCGUUCUUUACAAUGAACACAAGGUAAAGAUUCAACCGAAGGACAACGGCUGAGAAAUAUCCCGUUUGCUUCGCUGAUCGACCAAACAAACGAGGCCCAUCGAGUGCAAAGACAUAAACCGCCCAGGUUUGUUUGUAAUUUAGGGUUAUUGGCAGCGGGUGAGUGUCGGUUGGCGGCGAUUGCGGCUAUACAUUACAGAGAUAUCAAAUGUAAUGUUGCAAUUUGAGUCGGGAGGACUCAGAAGCCAGAGGGGAUGGACGUGAGCGGGAUUGUGAUGCGGGGAGGCGUAGCCACAGAGGGACUGACGCACUCCACUGGGUGACUCACUUUGAAGAAUGAGUGGAGAGCGAGGCUCCCCCACACCAAAUGGCUCCCAGGUCCAAACAUGCGUACAAUUUGUCAGUGUGAUGGUCGCAAUGGAGUCGGUGCCUAACAGACAAGUUGGAAUGCACUGCACUCUGAAAAUGGAAUAAGAGUGCCAAGUUGUUGCGGAGGCCAAUUGAGGAGUGGUUGAUGGAUGAUGGUUAAUGAAAGAAGAAAUGCACCAAUACCGAGACUAGAAUCGCUACCGGUAUCAUGAAACUGGUGGCCAUAGCCAUGUCUGCUGCUUUAAGGCAAACAAGGACAGCAACACUUAGCUAUGAAUUAUGCUCUGCAAAAAAAACUAAAACAAUAAAGUC
This is a long non-coding RNA of Syngnathus typhle (broad-nosed pipefish), 1276 nucleotides long. RefSeq lists it as uncharacterized. NCBI's taxonomy places the organism in Eukaryota, Metazoa, Chordata, Actinopteri, Syngnathiformes, Syngnathidae. The record is from RefSeq and is a predicted model, not a curated record. The transcript has 3 exons.